Molecule: transfer RNA, 72 nt
Filed under: Camelus dromedarius (Arabian camel)
Lineage: Eukaryota; Metazoa; Chordata; Mammalia; Artiodactyla; Camelidae
Also listed under: 1 other name
Rfam family: tRNA
About the family: Transfer RNA (tRNA) molecules are approximately 80 nucleotides in length. Their secondary structure includes four short double-helical elements and three loops (D, anti-codon, and T loops). Further hydrogen bonds mediate the characteristic L-shaped molecular structure. tRNAs have two regions of fundamental functional importance: the anti-codon, which is responsible for specific mRNA codon recognition, and the 3' end, to which the tRNAs corresponding amino acid is attached (by aminoacyl-tRNA synthetases). tRNAs cope with the degeneracy of the genetic code in two manners: having more than one tRNA (with a specific anti-codon) for a particular amino acid; and 'wobble' base-pairing, i.e. permitting non-standard base-pairing at the 3rd anti-codon position.
Source: Rfam by way of RNAcentral
GAGGGUCUAGCUCAGUGGUAGAGCACAUGCUUAGCGUGCGCGAGGUCCUGGGUUCAAUCCCCAGUGCCUCCA